Molecule: ribosomal RNA, 432 nt
Filed under: uncultured bacterium
Lineage: Bacteria
Description: partial 16S ribosomal RNA
Rfam family: Bacterial small subunit ribosomal RNA
Source: RNAcentral
AACGAACGCUGGCGGCAUGCCUAACACAUGCAAGUCGAACGAGACCUUCGGGUCUAGUGGCGCACGGGUGCGUAACGCGUGGGAACCUGCCCUUAGGUUCGGAAUAACUCCCCGAAAGGGGUGCUAAUACCGGAUAAUGUCUUCGGACCAAAGAUUUAUCGCCUUUGGAUGGGCGCGCGUUGGAUUAGCUAGUUGGUAGGGUAAAAGCCUACCAAGGCGACGAUCCAUAGCUGGUAUGAGAGGAUGAUCAGCCACACUGGGACUGAGACACGGCCCAGACUCCUAGGGGGGGGCGGAGGGGGGAAUAUGGGACAAGGGGGGAAAGCAGAAGCCAGCAAGGCCGGGGGGGUGAUGAAGGCGUUAGGGUUGUAAAGCUCUUUUACCCGGGAUGAUUAGGAGAGACCCGGAGAAAAAGCCCCGGGCAAACUCGUG